GUUGGAAUCGCCUCGCGCUGAUUGGCCGCCGGGCGGCGUGACGUCACGGGGCGCGGAGAGGAAAUGGCGGAACGGAGCGGAAGUGAGACUUGAGAACAGUUGUCUCAACCUGAUGAUAACCAGAAGCCUGGACGGAUGCCUUACUGCUCACUUAGAAGUUUGGAAGCAUUCCGACAUGCUCACGGUGCAUUUCCAUAUGACCCUCUGACCACCGAGCAGAUUGUGUUGAAAAGGAAGUCAGAGGACCAUCGCCAUGUAGAAGACUCCUGCCUAAUCAACAUCCAGAGCUCAGAGUGGCUCCAGUAGAAGAUAUUAGAGCCUUGACCUGCUUCUACCAGGCCUUGCCUUGUGCCAUGGCUUUAAGAGGUUGUGCACAGCUGACAGUAUCCACACCAGAGGGAAGCUCUUUAAAUGCCUCCAAGCUUUGGGAAACCAAGAGCGCCUUAAGAACUUUUCCUUGUUCCUUCAUUUGGCUCUUGAUGAGGUGAGAGCUGCAGCGAUGGCAUGCAGAGACUCUCGUUUGCAAUAACAUCACUCUGCAGCGCGGUCCGGUGAGGCGGACCAUACGGCUCUACGUGGCCCUGCACACUGACACGCCAACACCGCGAUGUCGAAACGCGGACGGGAAGGACUUCACAUCUGCCUGCCAAAGUGCUGAGCUCCACAGACGGAUCUGAAGGGAUGGUUGAUGCAAAGAGCAAAUUUCACAUAAUGUGAAGGAAGGAAAGAACCAAAGAAAAAUCUACCCAUGGAAAUGAUGGAAUCACCUUCCCUGCAGAUGCUACUUUUUUUCUGGAUGAGGAGGUGAGCUCGAGCCUCUCCCUGGAAGAGAGGGCUGGCAGCAGCUUUGAGCUGAGAUGUGGGGGCUGCACAGGGGCCCAUUGGCUGAAGGCCUGAUAUCAUUCACCUCUCCGUAUUUGUCCCCAUGCAAGUCAAAACUCCUCCUUGAGGGCACCUGAACCAGAGUCAUGUUCCCCAUCUUUGCAGAGCCCAUGUUGUCUGCCUCUGGGAGGCGGUGGCUGGAAGGUAAGGCCCAAGCUGUCCUUCUAGGUCUUGGCUGUGCUUGUUUGGGGAGCUCAAUCCUUUUCACUCCCCCAGAGAGAAGGAGUUCACCCUACCCAAACCAUCCUGCAUGGGGUGAAGAACUCAGCCCUGCCAUAGGGUGAUCCCUGGCUAUGGGACAGUUGGACCCUCUGCGCAGUAAUAAUUAGCAGACAAAUCCUGCUGACUCGGGAAACUCAUCUAAGGGUUUGUUUGUGUGUUUGUUGUUUUUAUGAGAAGGUCCAUAUGCCUUUCAGAUUUUGUUAUUUUCAGAGUUGAUGAUCUGAGGAACAGAAUGAAGAGCUGACAUUGUUGGUUGUUUUCUUGGCCCGUUUUAUACAGCAGAUGUAUGUUGGUAGAAGGGCUACAGCUCAUUACUUUAUUUAUUCUGGUGGAGUUUUGUUGCAAAGACAAUAGGUCAGAUCAUGACACAGGAAGAAAAAAGAUAGCUUUGGAACUGGUGGGUACUGUUCAUCUACCAGGGCUCCCUUCACACCCUGGAGAAAAUCCAAGAGGUAAUAUGGGAAUUUCUGAAUGUACUUAAAGUUUAUGAGACUGCCUGCCUGAAUGCAUGCAUGUGUGUGGAAUGGAACAAGGAUCUCCAGCAUAAUACUUAAUCAAAAUCCAGUUUUACCAGUGAUAUAAGACAGAUAAAGCACUGAGUACAGUCCUCAGGAUCUGCCCCUUCAGCUUAUGCACUGUAUAUGGCAUACACAGUAUCAGUGUGGGAUUUACCCUGGAACCCUGAAUGUGUCCCGGAUUUUCCAAGUCAGAGCCUUGUCUUAAGUUAUGCCUUGCAAUGUAGGUAUUUGAUGGUCUCGGGAGCAGUUCUAGUUCGAUGCUGAUUUCUUUCUAGGGUAUGAAAAUCCUCUCUAACAUAAUAGUGCCUUUCGAAUCUGAUUCUGAACUGUGUGCUUGCUCAAGGUGUUGAAGAAAUUGGCAAUAGAGUUUGAGCCACAACUUCAUCAGCAGAGAGCACAGAUAUCUUAAUGUUUGCUGAAUCAUGCGCCUUCUUUCAGCACUCUCUUCCUGCUGAAUAACCCACAUCUAGUGCUGUUUUAUUCAGGUUUUUGAGAUUAGGACUCUCUCCCUUUUACUAUCUGAGUACCCUGUAAAUGAGAACAGGAAACCUUAUUUUCUAACUCUGUUCCUAACCUAAUCAGGGUGUAUCCUCAGGGUUCUGGCACUUCUCUUUGGGUGCUGUUUGUGAACCCCUCUACCAUGAUCCACAGAAAUCCUUAUUCCCUCCUUGCUCUCAGCCAUGGCUCCAUUGCUCAGCUUUCAUUCCCUCCACCCUUCUGCUGUCACCAUGUUGACACCCAGGGUGACCACUCCAAGUCAUUGAUCCUCCUGGCUCUCCAAGCCAGCCUGCUGAGCUGAUCUUUGCCCAGUUGUUUCUUCUGUGCCCUGAGCACCUUUUCACCAGCUUUCCACUCAUAUCCCAGUUCUCAAAUGAUCUCAAAUGUGAAUGGGCAGGGAAGGCUCGAGGGGGAAGCAGUCGCUAGUGCCCUGCACAAUGAUAAUGACAUCUGAUGAACUGAUUUCUGUCUGUGUGCAGAGUAGUGGGAUGUUCCCCUUUUCCUGGUGUUGGUGAUGUCUUUUAACUCUGCACCUCAGUAAAUAUAGUUAGCAAUGCUCCUACAUUUUGCAGCAGUGCUGGCAGAGGCAGUGUUAAAUGCAGUCAUCCCACGGCUGAUGCUGAGAAUUCCUCCAGUAAACUCCCUUCAGCUCAGUUCUUCUGUCAGUACAACUUGCUAUCAUCUCCAUUUUAGCCAAUUUAUUAUCCUCCUUACAACACUUGUCUUAUCUUCUCCAGUUUAACUAGGAAUUUUGCGUGCCAACAUAUCAGUGGUGUAAAUGAUAUUUGGGUAGAGUAGCCUGGCACGAAUGCUUGCCAUUGCCAGUCCCAGAUCUGAAGUUUGUCCUUUAUGUCACAUUAUCCCACAGCUUUCUUUAUCCUUCACCCAGUGUUUCAUCUGAAGUUUUGUAUAAUAUUGACACCGGUGACAUGACCUGUGUGGGAUCGAGUCCAGUCAGGCUGAACUCAAUGACCCCCUUCCAACUUGGGAUAUUCUGUGAUUCUGUGAUUUUCUCCUUAAAUAAAGGCACUGCAUCUUCUUUUCUCUAAGGCAUCAGUUUCAGAAUAGUGGAUCUUAUUAUCAGGUUUGUCAUUUCAUCUGUUCCUACUUGCACUGCUCAGAGCUGGAUUGGCGUUACUUCCCCCCAGCUCAAGCACAUUCAACAUUUCAGUUUGUUCUGGUCAGUUUCAGUAUUUCUUCUUGAUGAACUGCUCAUCAGUCUGUGAUGUUCCAGAUGCAGCUCUGAAGAUGCAUUUUUACAUGCACACAGUUCUUCACUUCUUUCCCAGCUACAAACACUAUGGGGUUUUCUGCAGCCAGGUGGAACUCUUUGCUGUGUCCACACUGGCAAGGAGAACAGCUGGAUCCAGGGCAAUCCUUCUGACAUGAAGAUGAGCCUGCAUAUAUGUCCAUGCAGGCUACACACUAUUUUACUUAGGGAUGCUUUUGCAAGAUGAGGGAAAGGUUUGUUCUUUAUCUGCAGGCUUCUUUGCUGGCAUUUUUUUACACCUCUGUUGCACAGGAGUAAGACGUGAGUGCUUUUACAAUGAAAGGGCUCAGAGAUUGUUGGAGCAAACCCUUGAGCAGUGCUUGGUCCCCAGACCUCCUCUGAAACAGGACAGGACAGGAACUGCUUGUGUGGGAGUCCUGCAUCUCUUAUCUGGAGAAAAGCCACCUCGUAGAUGAAGUGUCAUCUUACAGCAUGAACUGUGAGAGGAGAACAUGCAGGGGGAUAGAUCCUGGAUUGUGGAGGACUAAUGCUUCCAGGCAAGCAAAGCCUGCAGCAUCCUUUUGUUCUUGGUGCAUUCAAUGGGCAAUGCAUUGACUCAGCCUUUUACUCAAAGGCUUUAUGCUGGGUUCAGCUAUCACCUGUCUUUCUUCCCUUGGCCUGUAUAAAGAGUCAAGCCAGCAGGAGCAUCAGACUGUGUGCUUGGGCUAACCUGAGUGGUGUGUGCUAACAUCUCAUCGAGAUUCCUUGGUAAUGGACGUGGAAACAUGGCCUCAUUGUUCAGCCUGCAGAACAGUGAGCCUGAAAACAUGGGGCAGCAUAGGAUUCUAUAGAGAGAGCUGGAGUGCUGAGAGCAUCCUCAAGUGGGGUGCAAUGAUGGACUUCGAAAAAGAAGUUCAGGAGCAUAUGUUACAGGAAAAAGAAAUGGAGAAGGACAAGACUUGGUCCUCGCAUGGGAGAUGCUAUAAAGGCAACAGGUGGGAUGUAAGCUGGCAUGUGGUACCCAUGUGAACGUGGAGUGCUCAGUAGAAACUGGAAGUAGUUCUCAGAUGGGCAGAACUAUAUGGAAAGGCCUGUUCUGCAAGGAGACUUCCCAAACGUGCUCUCAUCAGAAGCAACAUUGAUUUGACCUGUCAGAGCUGUUAAAUUUGAGGCCAUGUCUGUGGGCCCAGCCAGCUGAGAGCUCCAAAAUUCUUUAGCAGAGGUCCAAAAUAAACAAGGUGUGGUGAAGAAAAAAAUGCUUUUUGCUCCUCGCAGAUUACUGGGAAUGAUCUUCCUUUUUCUGUCUGAUCCAUUGGUGAAGGCUCUCUUAUCUUCCAGCAGCCAGACUCGAGAGGAUGCAUGAGUGCUUCCUCUGAGCAACGUGGAGGAGGCCAGAGACAAUAUUUUGUCUGAAGCAAGAAACAUUUGCUCAUGGGAUGCCAGUAAACACAUGCACUGCAAAAGGAGUUUUGCUGUGGACAUGAGGAUGCUGUAGAUUUCUCCGUUUGAUCAGCUGGAUUUGCACCUGAGUUUUGAUCCCAUAGCCGUGGCUGAAGCUCUCCUUACUUCUGCAGAGACUGUCCCCUAUGCCAGCAGAACCACCUGAGCCAUUGGCCAUCACCCAGCAGGGAGGGGAUCCCAGACAGCUCGUCAGGCGUGUUGUGAUUGACACGUGUGUGAUCUGCCUCCUAAGAGGAAGACAUUUGGGCUGCAGUACCAGAGCCAUGGGAUGAGCUUUGCUCACACCAGCAAGCAGCGUGCCCACUUAGUCCCUGGAGAACUGGCUGGACUUGGAGUUUUGGUGUUUGUGGAGAAAGGAGUUUUUGCCCAGCAGGGCAGAAUGUUCCUGUGUGGGUGCUGCUCAGUGAGAUGCAUUCUCUGCAUCAUGAAGAAUGUUGAGUGGAUGGGGAGCUACUUCUGAGGGAGCAGAGCUGUGCUCCUGCAAGCAUAGACCAGUUGGUCUCCAGUUUUCUGGUGACUGCUGUGUUGCCUGCAGGCUGCAGCCAUUCUCAACACUGUAAAUACCUUCAGACAUCUGCUUGAAGCAUGCCUCCCUACCAGAAGCUGUGAUGAAGGUGAUGCAGUCAUGUCUUCUGUUUCAUGGUUCCUCUGUGGUUGCCCCAUUUGGGGUUCUUGGUGGAUUACCAGCAAGGGAACCUCUGAAAAAAGGAGUCAUUGCUGUUUUGUGCUUUGGAUCAGUAUUUGGAUCCACUGUUCCUGGCUCAAGUCAACACUCAGUGGCUCUAAACUCUCUUUGCUUCCUCUUGUUAUCCUCCACUCUCCAACCAUGUGUCUUAUUCCACUUAAUUCCCUCCUUGGAGUCCCUCAGGUCCCAAACCCAUUCUGCCCCAUAUGUCCUUGCCAUGGGCCUGGUCCCAAGUGAUGCAGCAGAGCCCCCUGCCCCACUUUGCCUCUGUGCCUUCCCAGGGACUUGCACAGAGGGUGUGAAGAGGCAGCAGCCAGCAGGGCAUGGGUGGGGCGAGCAGGAAUGAGGGCUGAGACCAAAGAGAUCCUCAGGGAAAUGGCUGCAGCUGCAUUGCUCUGCUUUCUGUGGCUCAAAGUGUGACACCAGUGUGCACAGGGGCUGGUGCUGUGAAGUACGAGUGUCACACUGAGUGUGGGCACAACACAAAUGGAAAACGCUGCUUUAAACUCUUAUCUUAAGCCUUCAGUUCAACACACUCGAAGCCUGCAUCCUUCCAGGCCGGUGAUGCACCUGCCAGCUGCAUCGCUGGGAUGCAGAGCAGAUCUUUGCAGAGCUGCACAGGCCUGUUGUGACACCUUGGUGCCUCUGGCUUCGCUCCCAUUUUCUAGAGUUGCACUUGGCCUUGCUCUGGCCCUGUGCCCAGCCUCAAUUCGCCUUCUUGGUUUUCACUUAUUUCCCAUAUCGCUUUUCUCUCCCGCUUCUCCUCAGGGAUCUGGCUGCAAACCCUUGUGGGUGAGCAGCCCCUCCCUGCCAGGCUCUCUUCAUUUGUAAGACAGAGACGUGGGAUCUCGGCAGUUUUUCUUCCUUCUUCCAUCUGAAUUUUAGCUACUUCUUCUGCUGCAUGUCUCUCUUCUCCCUUUUCCUGACUCAGCCCUUCAGUUUUAUUGCUCUGUGAGCUGUUUGGUCACUGCUAUUUUAAAAAUAAAACAAGUGCAAAUGGCCCUGAGUUGGGAUCCUGGUUUGCCUGUGGGAUCAAACAUGCACAGUACACACGUACGGCUCUGGUUUGCCCACAUCGUUUGGAUAAGGUAUCAGAAAGCACAGACUGCCUUUGCACUGAAGCCUGCAGGUCAAGGAACUGGCCUCCCUUCAGUGCAGGGCCGUGUGGCUAAAGCCCUGACAUGUAUUUCUGGAAAAUGCUGGAAACCCACCUCAUGUGUUUAAUUCCUCCUUUCAGGGCAUGUUCACUUUUGCUUCUUUCUUACAGGGAAGAUUUUGCUUCCAUCUCCCAGCGAUGUUACCCUUCUGCUCUCCUUCUCAAGCCAGUGCAACACAAGGAGAGCCAGCCCCAGUCAUUCCUCAUGAGCUGAGUGGUGAGGAUGUCCCUCCGUGAUGGAGGCUCUGACAUGCCUUUAAUUCUGAUCUUCUCCGUUCCUCAUUUUUUUUUAUCACCCUUCACAGUUAAGCAUAUAAUUAGCCACUUGGAUAAAGUAGGUUUGUGGUGUCGCAGAGUCACAGCGCUGAACCUAGACCUUCUGAAGUCCAAAUCAACUCCUUCAUCAUCAGAGCAGCCUUCCUCUGGGCACACCAGCACUUGUGGCAUGGCCCAGAACCUCUCGCCUUUGAACUUCCCAGCUCCAGGCUGCUGAGUCAGUGUCUGUGUAUGAUGGAAGCAGUGAAGGGGGAAACGGGUAAUUGCUUAGGGAGGAAAAAGACAAAAACGAAACCAUGCCUUGCUGCCAUUGACACAAGCUUUGCUCACGUGCUUUUGGAUAAUAGAUUUUUAGGAGAGAAUGCAGUGGGCUUUGAUUCUCAGGUAUUUUCUCAGAGCAGAAGAGAACAGAGCAGGUAACAGUAAGUAAGAACACCUCUACCUUGUAAAUAAACCCAGAGGACGCCUCUCUCCUUAACUCCCUUCAUCAAUAAUAAAACAGUCUUGCUGCACUGCAGUGAAGUAGGUCCUGCUAAAAAGCUACAGUCAGGAAGCACUGGGAGUACUUCUAGCUCUUUCCUUCCCAUAUACCUGUUUUAGAAGGACUAAACCUGUAGGGUACUUGGAGCGAACUGCAUUGUCCUCACAAACAUGUUGCAAUAACAUGGAUUGCUUUGCAGCAGAGUGAGCCACUGAGGUCCCUGCUGAAGACCUUGCUGCACUUAGCAUGCUUUAGCCAAGGGUGAUGGAUUUGUGUUUGUGUGUAUGUGUGUGUUUAUAUACACAUUCACUAUGUAGGCCUAUUUGGUGACCAUUUUUGGUGACCUCUAAGAUCACCCUUAGAGGUUUAUUCCAGCCCUAAUGAUUCUGUGAUUCUAUGAAUACAUCCCUCACCUUCUGGAGGUCCCUCUCACAUCUCAAGGAUGAGGUUUUGAUUGAAUGGAAAGCAAAUGUACGCUAAAAGCAAUGAUUGUUUCUGGAACAUCCAUGAAAAUAUGGAUAUUCCCACUGUCUCUCCAAGCAACCUGUGCUGGAGGUGUUUGUAGCACCGGUCAGGAGACUUUCCAUAACAUCCCAUUAAGACGGCUUUAGCUUUAUUUGUGACUUGUAUUGCUGAAGCACUCCCCCAGGACCCAGGCCUCCACGUUUCCAUGCACUGCUCAAGAAUCUCAGAAGGGACAGCACUGAACGGAAGGGGCAUUGCAAUGUAACUGGAGCAGA
Coturnix japonica (Japanese quail) is the source of this 8129-nucleotide non-coding RNA. NCBI's taxonomy places the organism in Eukaryota, Metazoa, Chordata, Aves, Galliformes, Phasianidae. The record is from RefSeq and is a predicted model, not a curated record.